GUUGGUUUCUUCGAGCGUUACUGACAAAUUAGAGACCCCGAUGGUUGCCGCCGUUGGGGUUUCGUCU
Molecule: small RNA, 67 nt
Filed under: Xenorhabdus ehlersii
Lineage: Bacteria; Pseudomonadati; Pseudomonadota; Gammaproteobacteria; Enterobacterales; Morganellaceae
Source: RNAcentral